This 253-nucleotide ribosomal RNA is filed under the name uncultured prokaryote. Its description in RNAcentral is "partial 16S ribosomal RNA". It matches the Rfam family "Bacterial small subunit ribosomal RNA", at positions 525 to 777 of the family's 1533-position model. The record is from RNAcentral.
ACGUAGGGUGCGAGCGUUAAUCGGAAUUACUGGGCGUAAAGCGUGCGCAGGCGGUUCUCCAAGUCGCGUGUGAAAGCCCCCGGCUCAACUGGGGAGGGUCACGCGAUACUGAUCGACUCGAAGGCAGGAGAGGGUAGUGGAAUUCCCGGUGUAGUGGUGAAAUGCGUAGAUAUCGGGAGGAACACCAGUGGCGAAGGCGACUACCUGGCCUGUUCUUGACGCUGAGGCGCGAAAGCUAGGGGAGCAAACGGGA